GAUGAACGCUGGCGGCGUGCCUAAUACAUGCAAGUCGAGCGAACAGACGAGGAGCUUGCUCCUCUGACGUUAGCGGCGGACGGGUGAGUAACACGUGGAUAACCUACCUAUAAGACUGGGAUAACUUCGGGAAACCGGAGCUAAUACCGGAUAAUAUAUUGAACCGCAUGGUUCAAUAGUGAAAGACGGUCUUGCUGUCACUUAUAGAUGGAUCCGCGCUGCAUUAGCUAGUUGGUAAGGUAACGGCUUACCAAGGCAACGAUGCAUAGCCGACCUGAGAGGGUGAUCGGCCACACUGGAACUGAGACACGGUCCAGACUCCUACGGGAGGCAGCAGUAGGGAAUCUUCGGCAAUGGGCGAAAGCCUGACGGAGCAACGCCGCGUGAGUGAUGAAGGUCUUCGGAUCGUAAAACUCUGUUAUUAGGGAAGAACAUAUGUGUAAGUAACUGUGCACAUCUUGACGGUACCUAAUCAGAAAGCCACGGCUAACUACGUG
Molecule: ribosomal RNA, 497 nt
Filed under: uncultured bacterium
Lineage: Bacteria
Description: partial 16S ribosomal RNA
Rfam family: Bacterial small subunit ribosomal RNA
Source: RNAcentral